AUAUUAUUAAGCGGAGGAAAAGGAAAUAACAAUGAUUCCCUGAGUAACGGCGAGUGAAAAGGGAAUAGCUCAAUUUUGAAUCGGGUGCCGUCAGGUACUCGAGUUGUAAUCUUAAGACGUGUGGUCAGUGUGUGACUGGUGUCUAACUCCUUUGAAAAGGGGGAACGCGGAGGGUGACAUUCCCGUAAGCGACACCGUGUUCACCACGUACGAUACACGAUCUACGAGUAGAGUUGUUUGGGAUCACAGCUCGAAUUGGGAGGUAAACUUCUCCUAAGGCUAAAUAUUGGUGGGAGACCGAUAGCGCACAAGUA
Molecule: ribosomal RNA, 314 nt
Filed under: uncultured eukaryote
Lineage: Eukaryota
Description: partial large subunit ribosomal RNA
Rfam family: Eukaryotic large subunit ribosomal RNA
Source: RNAcentral